Long non-coding RNA from Cryptomeria japonica (Japanese cedar), 1356 nucleotides. RefSeq lists it as uncharacterized. The transcript is spliced from 4 exons. Lineage: Eukaryota; Viridiplantae; Streptophyta; Pinopsida; Cupressales; Cupressaceae. The record is from RefSeq and is a predicted model, not a curated record.
AUUCAUUCAAUUAUUUGCUACUUGUUAACACAAAUGAAGUUUUCUGUUAGAGAAGGAAAUAUUGUAAGGGAAACAGAAAUUCAACUUGAACAAGCACACAAAAAAACUCAUUUUUUAUCUUGGAAACCCCUAAUAUGGAGGAAAAUCAACUUCUAUGGUAGUGACAAUGGCCUUGCUACCUUCUUUAUUGUAUAGAGAAUAUAAUUAUAGCAAGUAGGAGUUUUUCUUUUUGCCCUCCAAAUUCCAGAAACAUAUGCUUUAAACUCAAAUUAUAAUUCCCUUUUAUAGAUUUUUGUGAACAUCAGGUUUCUUCUGAGCCCUAGAGGAAUUCCCGCACAAACUAGAAGUUAAUAUGGCGACUGUUCAGUUCAGAUUCUAGAUUUGAAGUGCUCAAUGUUGGUGGACAUGGUUGUGGUGCUGACCAAGUGGCUACUGCAAUUGUGGUCUUGUCUGCAUGUGUUUUCCAAUCAGUUUCUAUUUAUGAACCUAUCUUGGUACCUGGAUUCACUUUGUUAUUCAAGUUUCUGCUUCUCAUGAAUUUUCCAGAUUCAGUAUGGGUCAACUGUGAAACACUUUAGCUUUCGUCAUCUCAAGUGACAAAUAAAAAUGCAAUUAGAUCUGUCAUUGGGGUUAGAGACUCUUAUAAAGUAUUGCUACUGUUGAUAAUUAUAUUCUUCUCUAUGUUAUGGUGGAGUACAUGAAGUCAACUAUGAGCUUCCUAUGGGAAAUAAUGACCAUAAACGGCAUCAAUCAACAAAUAAAGGCAAUUGAAGGUUUGGACUCACUAUAUUUCAUUCAGUAAAAAUGUAUGUUGAUCUGAAGGAAAUGUGGAGAUGAACCAUCAGUCUCUCCCAGUUGAACAGGUCACUGCCUUCAAGCUUGCAUUCUCAUCUGCAGGCCGGGGACCGUCUUCAGAAUCUGAUGAUUUUAAGUCCUUAUGAAAUCAAGCAUUUGCAACGCCAGAGAAACUAGCAGAGUUAGUGGAAAAGGUUGACAGAGCAAUUGCAGAGGAUUUACCAGGGGCAGUUUCAAAAAUGAAACUUGCAAAUCCUUCUACUCUCUCUAUUUUGUUCAAGCCAAUCAAAAGAUAUUGUUAAGACUGGCAUGCGAUCAAUAUCAGAUAUACAGGCUUACCUUGAUACGCUUGUGUAGCACACAUUUGAAUAAUGCCCUUGAAGAUUCUUAAAUUCGAUUGAGCUCAAUCUUGGAAUGAACUGAUACAGAAUUUAGUCAAGCAAGUAGUAUCUUGGGAUGGACUAUUUAAGAGGGCUCCUAAAUCAUAAAUUGAAAGACAUUAUCCAUGUUGUGGAACUCAAUGAGAUAAAUAGCUGUUUAAUCAAAUGAUAUUGCAUUGCU